GGUCUCUUGUGUCGGCACCUGGGUGGCUUGCCGCCCACACAACCAAAUUAAAAAAUAACACAGAAGGGUAAGGUAAGUCUCCAUUAAACCCAGGAAAGAGACUGGAAAACUCCUCUUUGGAGCCUGUCUAUAGUCACAGGU
Molecule: small nucleolar RNA, 141 nt
Filed under: Homo sapiens (human)
Lineage: Eukaryota; Metazoa; Chordata; Mammalia; Primates; Hominidae
Description: snoRNA (ENSG00000252236.1)
Rfam family: Small nucleolar RNA SNORA26
About the family: The snoRNA HBI-6 belong to the H/ACA family of snoRNAs, guiding the pseudouridylation of position U4522 if the 28S rRNA. HBI-6 is the human orthologue of mouse MBI-6 snoRNA.
Source: RNAcentral